GAACGUAAGAUGACUGUAGGUGAAAGCUUACAUCUCUUCGGAGCAUUUUACGAGGUGCUGCAUGGUUGUCGUCAGCUCGUGCCGUGAGGUGUCGGUUAAGUCCCAUAACGAGCGCAACCCUACCUUUAGUGCCAUCAGGUAAUGCUGGGGACUCUAAAGGAACUGCCUACGCAAGUAGUGAGGAAGGCGGGGAGUGACGUCAAAUCAGCACGGCCCUUACGUCCAGGGCUACACACGUGCUACAAUGGCCGAUACAGAGGGCAGCUACCUGGUGACAGGAUGCAAAUCUACCAAAGUCGGUCUCAGUUCGGAUCGGAGUCUGCAACCCGACUCCGUGAAGUUGGAUUCGCUAGUAAUCGCGCAUCAGCCAUGGCGCGGUGAAUACGUUCCCGGGCCUU
RNAcentral lists this ribosomal RNA (398 nucleotides) under uncultured Sphingobacteriales bacterium. RNAcentral describes it as "bacterial SSU rRNA". It matches the Rfam family "Bacterial small subunit ribosomal RNA", at positions 983 to 1382 of the family's 1533-position model. Lineage: Bacteria; Pseudomonadati; Bacteroidota; Sphingobacteriia; Sphingobacteriales. The record is from RNAcentral.